UCUUCCCUGCGGUGUACGCAAAGGCAUAUAUUCCUUUGAACCAAUAAGUUCGCUCCAGGUUGCCGGGAGCAGUAGUGGGCGCGAGCGUCCUUCAACGGAUGCACCCGAAACUACCCGAGGCGACCGCCUUGUCCUCAAGGUUCAAGCGAAUCCGGCCCAAACGUCAUCAGCGGGGAACCC
This 180-nucleotide non-coding RNA is filed under the name Neisseria lisongii. Its description in RNAcentral is "Neisseria sp. ZJ106 6S RNA". It matches the Rfam family "6S / SsrS RNA". Rfam says of the family: E. coli 6S RNA was the first non coding RNA to be sequenced, but its function was unknown until recently. It consists of 184 nucleotides that fold into an extended hairpin structure with a large single-stranded internal bulge. Lineage: Bacteria; Pseudomonadati; Pseudomonadota; Betaproteobacteria; Neisseriales; Neisseriaceae. The record is from RNAcentral.